Callithrix jacchus (white-tufted-ear marmoset) is the source of this 410-nucleotide non-coding RNA. The record is from RefSeq and is a predicted model, not a curated record. Lineage: Eukaryota; Metazoa; Chordata; Mammalia; Primates; Cebidae.
UGUCCGAGGCGGGUGGGCGGAGCCUCUCGCUCACACCUCCCCAAGGAAGGUUUCCUUGGAAACCUCACGCCGCGGACGCCUCUGAGGCUCUGUCUGCUGGGCUCAUGCUGCUGAGACUUCGCCUGGCUUUCGAACUACCGUGUUAAUGUGUCCUUGCCUCCCUUCUUAUAGCUUCUCGCUCUGUCGCCCAGGCUGGAGUAAAGUAGCGUGAUCUCGGCUCACUGCAACCUCCGCUGUUGAGAAAUGCUAAGUGUAUGAUUGCUGAGAAAUGCUGAAUGUAUGAUGAAAUAUAUCGUUUGCUGAGAAGAACCGUGGCAAAGAAAAUCUAGCUCCCCCUCUUCCCCCCGCCAGAAGAAAACUACUUGGGGUGUUCUAAAGUGGCAGGACAAUAAAUAAAUAUAAAAAUAUCA